UGGGGAAUAUUGCACAAUGGGCGCAAGACUGAUGCAGCCAUGCCGCGUGUAUGAAGAAGGCCUUCGGGUUGUAAAGUACUUUCAGUCGGGAGGAAGGUGGUAAGGUUAAUAACCUUAUCAAUUGACGUUACCGACAGAAGAAGCACCGGCUAACUCCGUGCCAGCAGCCGCGGUAAUACGGAGGGUGCAAGCGUUAAUCGGAAUUACUGGGCGUAAAGCGCACGCAGGCGGUUGAUUGAGUCAGAUGUGAAAUCCCCGGGCUUAACCCGGGAAUUGCAUCUGAUACUGGUCAGCUAGAGUCUUGUAGAGGGGGGUAGAAUUCCAUGUGUAGCGGUGAAAUGCGUAGAGAUGUGGAGGAAUACCGGUGGCGAAGGCGGCCCCCUGGACAAAGACUGACGCUCAGGUGCGAAAGCGUGGGGAGCAAACAGG
This 429-nucleotide ribosomal RNA is filed under the name Chloroflexota bacterium. RNAcentral describes it as "Chloroflexi bacterium partial 16S ribosomal RNA". It matches the Rfam family "Bacterial small subunit ribosomal RNA", at positions 355 to 776 of the family's 1533-position model. Lineage: Bacteria; Bacillati; Chloroflexota. The record is from RNAcentral.